This 909-nucleotide long non-coding RNA is filed under the name Monodelphis domestica (gray short-tailed opossum). RNAcentral's name for it is "lncRNA (ENSMODG00000040093.1)". Lineage: Eukaryota; Metazoa; Chordata; Mammalia; Didelphimorphia; Didelphidae. The record is from RNAcentral.
CUACCAUUGGUACAUGUGAGAUGCAGGAAGUGAUGUAAAGAACUACCUAUAUAUUUCACAUCACUUCCUGUGAUCGCUCUCUCGGUGGUGUUGGGAGCUCUGGGCUGCAUUUGACAUACUUGCGGGUUUUGGCUCUGUAGCGUGAUUUAGGUGAGGUGUCUUCCCUGAGCAACCUUGGGCAAAUUUUCCUGCCAACUGGAGGUCAAGUGGAAUCUCAAUUACCCAAGAUAAUGAAUAUUUAAUUCGCAUAAAUAAAUGAGUAUUAGUUCAUUUUUUCUACUUCAUUGGUAACUUGAAUGGAGGACAUUAACAGCUGGGAAUGAACAACUGUCAGUUUCCUCAGUACAAUGAACUGGAAAAGGAACCCCAAAUUGGCAUCCUGAAGAGUCAGAGAUGACUGAACAACAACAACCAAUAUAUAAAGUACCUCCAGGCCCUUCCCCUCUCCCUAGUCCCAGCCUGACUGGAGUCCCUGCCAGAGACCACAGGAGCCAACACUAAGCGGCUUGGAGCUGGGGGAGCGUCUUCCAUCCCUGCCAGCAAUGAGGAAUAACAGCAGCUUUGACCCCACUGCUAUGGGGGAAGGGGAGGAGGGGGAUAACUAUGUUCCUACCAUCCCAAGUUGGAAUUCUGAAGGAGCUUAGAAACACUGUGCCAUGUGGUGGUCAGCCUCUGAAAUAUUGCAAAUAUGGUAUUAAACUUGCGGCGUGACAUGGAUUAAAUAGGUUUUGAUAGGCUAUCCUAAGACUCUAACCACCAUAUGUAAUUUUACUUUUUAUGGGAAAAUGCUUUUCAGAGUUUCAUACUAUUUGCUCAUAAAUUGGGAAUGCCUGUAAAUAUUUUAUAAAAAGAGGUUGUAUUUCAUCUAUCUUAAUUAUAUUGUCCAAGACAUAUUUCUUUUGACUAGCA